AUGGCUCAGAACGAACGCUGGUGGCGUGUCUUAUACAUGCAAGUCGAGCGAGGCAGCAAUGCCGAGCGGCGAACGGGUGAGUAACGCGUAAGCAAUCUGCCCCAUAUCAGGAAAUACCCGUGCCAACGCGCGGUUAAUGUCCAGGAGAGUGGCCCCCUGCAUGGAGGGUUGACUAGAGAUUCAUCGGUAUGGGAUGAGCUUGCGUCCGAUUAGCUAGUUGGCGGGGCAACGGCCCACCAAGGCGACGAUCGGUAGCCGGCCUGAGAGGGUGAUCGGCCACAUUGGGACUGAGAUACGGCCCAGACUCCUACGGGAGGCAGCAGUAGGGAAUAUUGCACAAUGGGGGAAACCCUGAUGCAGCAACGCCAACGUGUGGGAAGAAGCAUUUCGGUGUGUAAACCACUGUCAUGAGGGAAUAAGGCCCGCCUCCGGACGGGAUUGAAUGUACCUUGAGAGGAAGCACCGGCAAACUUCGUGCCAGCCGCCGC
Molecule: ribosomal RNA, 488 nt
Filed under: uncultured bacterium
Lineage: Bacteria
Description: bacterial SSU rRNA
Rfam family: Bacterial small subunit ribosomal RNA
Source: RNAcentral